UACCUACUUGUACUCAUCACCUCCUCCUCCCAAGAAGCCCUAUUAUUAUCACUCUCCUCCACCACCUUCACCUCCUCCACCUAAGCCAUACUACUAUCAUUCACCACCACCACCUUCACCUCCUCCACCCAAGCCAUACUACUAUCACUCACCACCACCACCUUCACCUCCUCCACCUAAACCAUACUACUAUCACUCACCACCACCACCUUCACCUCCUCCACCUAAACCAUACUACUAUCACUCACCACCACCACCUUCACCUCCUCCACCUAAACCAUACUACUAUCACUCACCACCACCACCUUCACCUCCUCCACCUAAGUCAUAUUACUAUCACUCACCACCACCACCACCCAAAAAGAAGCCAUACUACUACCAUUCUCCCCCACCACCUUCACCACCUCCUCCUAAGCCAUACUACUAUCACU
This 431-nucleotide long non-coding RNA is filed under the name Phaseolus vulgaris (common bean). RNAcentral describes it as "long non-coding RNA (PVUL_LNC002044)". The record is from RNAcentral. Lineage: Eukaryota; Viridiplantae; Streptophyta; Magnoliopsida; Fabales; Fabaceae.